GAUGAACGCUAGCGGCAGGCUUAACACAUGCAAGUCGAGGGGCAGCGGGAUGUAGCAAUACAUUGCCGGCGACCGGCGCAAGGGUGCGUAACGCGUGAGCAACUUGCCCGUUUCUGGGGGAUAACCGGUGGAAACGCCGACUAAUACCCCAUAGUAUUGGAUUUAGGCAUCUUUAUCCAAUUAAAGAAUUUCGGAAACGGAUAGGCUCGCGUGACAUUAGCUAGAUGGCGGGGUAACGGCCCACCAUGGCUACGAUGUCUAGGGGUUCUGAGAGGAAGGUCCCCCACACUGGAACUGAGACACGGUCCAGACUCCUACGGGAGGCAGCAGUGAGGAAUAUUGGUCAAUGGUCGGAAGACUGAACCAGCCAUGCCGCGUGAAGGUCACGGCCCUAUGGGUCUUAAACUUCUUUUGUAAGGGAGCAAUAAGGCGUACGUGUACGUCGAUGAGAGUACCUUACGAAUAAGCAUCGGCUAACUCCGUG
Molecule: ribosomal RNA, 484 nt
Filed under: uncultured bacterium
Lineage: Bacteria
Description: bacterial SSU rRNA
Rfam family: Bacterial small subunit ribosomal RNA
Source: RNAcentral